UACAGAGGUACCAAGCGUUGUUCGGAUUCACUGGGCGUAAAGGGUGCGCAGGCGGUGGGGUAAGUUUGGUGUGAAAUCUCCGGGCUCAACCCGGAAAUGGCAUCAAAUACUAUCCCGCUGGAGGGUUGGAGAGGGGACUGGAAUUCCCGGUGUAGCAGUGAAAUGCGUGGAUAUCGAGAGGAACCCCAGUGGCGAAGGCGAGUCCCUGGACAACUCCUGACGCUCAUGCACGAAAGCUAGGGGAGCAAACAGG
Molecule: ribosomal RNA, 253 nt
Filed under: uncultured bacterium
Lineage: Bacteria
Description: partial 16S ribosomal RNA
Rfam family: Bacterial small subunit ribosomal RNA
Source: RNAcentral